Molecule: ribosomal RNA, 463 nt
Filed under: uncultured bacterium
Lineage: Bacteria
Description: partial 16S ribosomal RNA
Rfam family: Bacterial small subunit ribosomal RNA
Source: RNAcentral
GAUGAACGCUGACAGAAUGCUUAACACAUGCAAGUCGAUGGGGAAGUGGUGCUUGCACCCUGGCAACCAUGGCGGACGGGUGAGUAACGCGUAAGGGACUUACCUGCAGGACUGGGAUAACAGGGGGAAACCCCUGACAAGACCGGAUAAUGUCAUGGAGCUGCAUGGCUUUAUGAUGAAAGGAGACGCCUGCGGAGAGCCUUGCGUCCUAUUAGCUAGUUGGUGAGGUAAUGGCUCACCAAGGCGAAGAUAGGUAGCCGGCCUGAGAGGGUGGACGGCCACAAGGGGACUGAGAUACGGCCCUUACUCCUACGGGAGGCAGCAGUGGGGAAUAUUGGACAAUGGGGGCAACCCUGAUCCAGCAAUUCUGUGUGCACGAAGAAGGUUUUCGGAUUGUAAAGUGCUUUCAGCAGGGAAGAAGUAAGUGACGGUACCUGCAGAAGAAGCGACGGCUAAAUACGUG